Molecule: long non-coding RNA, 2420 nt
Organism: Cygnus olor (mute swan)
Lineage: Eukaryota; Metazoa; Chordata; Aves; Anseriformes; Anatidae
Exons: 3
Source: RefSeq, a predicted model, not a curated record
UACAUUGUGGUAUCACUGGCAUGGUUUAUUGAUUUCUGUGCCUUCCGUCUCCAGGUACAAAGCUGUUGUGUAGGAGCAAUCACUCCUCAGCCAGGCACAGCGCAGGCAGGGCUCUGCUUUCGCUCUUCCUGAGAUAAAUUGACCUGAAUGAGACCUGGCAGGUGGAGCUGAGGCUUGCAGACUGGCUCCUGGCUUUCUCUGAAGCACCUUUCCUCUCAGACCACACAGAAACAGAGCCCUCCAAGUCACUUUGGACCAGGCUACUUGUCUGGGGUUUUAAACCUUUCAUCCUAACCAGCAUAAGAAAGGUUUUUUGAAUAACUGUAUUAACAGUAGAUGUGACAGACAGUAGAUGGAGAAAGCUCUCUUCAUACUUCCUCCGGUCACUGGGACUUGUCUCACCUUUGUCUUUCAGAUUUGUUUAUUCAUUGCCGAAACUGAGGCACCCACAGAUCUCUGCAGUCCCCAGGCUGCAGGCACAGGAAGCUGUAUAUCUUCAGCAUUUAACAGCAUCUUACAUUAAAACCGGGAUAACUGACCUGCAUUUUGCAACUCGUAGCCCUGUCCCCAGGCUUCCUUUGUGCUGCAUGCAGUGAUUCUGCUACGCCAAGCCCUGCAGUGUCACAAUGUAGGAGUCUGAAACUGCUUUGCAGGGCAACGUCAUUUGAUUUACUUGAGCUGUAGUUUGUCUUCUGCUGUAACCAGAAUUGCCCAGUUUAAAAAAAAUCCUUUUUGAAUAACUUAUAAUGAGCAGGGGGCUGAGUCUGUUCUUCCUGCAAGCAGGACAUCCCAUCUUUGGGAGGCGUGGCUCAGACUGCUGGCUUUGGAAGUUUUCAGAGACCUGAAUGCCGAACCAAGAGCCUUCUGAUUUUUGUCAAGGAAACCUGGCAGCAUGAGUUGUGUUCUAGCAGACCAGCAUUAGAGGAGACCACUGUGAGGGAUGGCUGCUGUACACAGGCUGUAAGCGUGCUUUUGAGUAAAUAGGAGCCUUCAGCAUCCCCACUGCCUGGGACAAAAAUUUGCAGCUGGGACCUGUUCUGUAUUCAUGAGGAAAGGGAACUGAUGCCUGGAUAAAUCAAACUGCAUCAAUAAAUUAAGAGGCAGUAGGACACAGAAUGUGCGUUAUUUGUUGUUGUGUGUUUAUUGCACAGUGAGACUAGAGCUGGUUCUCUGAAUUUUGGGGCAGGUUUAGAGAUGCAUCAGGCCACGUGGAAGCGACAAGCUGGGUUGCUAGUUACAUGGACAUCAGUCAAUAAAUCAUUUAUUCAGUUUUGUCUGUAUCAAAUACAGUGUUUCAAGGUGAUGCUGAUUGCAGCAAGAGAAACCGGGCUUCCUGCUCAUUAAGUGGCUGGUUCUUGCCGCAUGGUCCCUUCGGUGCUGUGCCCGCAAGGGACGGGGCUGGUGCAGUCCAGCGACUGUGGGCUGCUGAAGAGUUCCCUGCCUGCCUUCAGCCACAGCUUGGUGGCACUGGGUGCUGGCGUGGUAAAGACAUUGCGUUAUCCUGAGAGAAAGCAGACAGACUUGGGUGCUCGUUUGUGGUUCCUUUUGGUUGUUUGGUGGGGAGUAGGUGGAGCAGUACUGUGUGCAUGGGGCCACGACGAGCAGCCUUCUGUUCUAAGCAAGGCUCUGUGCAGCCGCCUCGGCAGAUUCAGGUUAGCUACAGCAGGACAGAAAACAUCAGUUGGUGACCUCAGGCAGUUUCACAGGGAGGAAAGAUGGCGUGCUAGCCUCCCUUAUUGAUCUGGAACCAAAUCGUACUGCUCCUCCCGUGUGCCACUCUCCUGUCUACCCCUUGUUUCAUUCCUCUGAAGCCACAGCUAUCCGCCAGCUCCUGGAGCGGGCCCAGUGCAUUUCUUUAGCUGGCACUGAACAGCACUUGUCAGGCUACGGCUGAAGAGCUGUCGGCCUUCCUGGCACCUCUGCGAUGCUAAUCCUUAGGUAGCUUUCUGAAUGACCUCUCAAUAAGCCAGCCGGCACUAAGCAUGUACAGAGGCACGGUAUGAUGCCAAUACAUAGGGUAAAGCGGGCCUCUGUUUCAGCCAAGUGUUAAUGGUGUUUUCUUAACUAAGGCCGGUUCUUUAUGGCUUUUACUUGCUAAAUAUUUGAUGCAGCUCUGCAUUUUAAAAGGAAACAUGGUUUAGUCAGUUUUGGCACAGGGGUCCCUCAACAGCUCGUGUGCACAACUGACUGGUUUGCCUCACAACAGCAGACUCAGGUGGCUGCCCGCUGUGUUGUUGAGAACAGGAGUCACACACCGAGUCUUACUCCCAUUGCCAUACAUGCUAAGCCGUGGGUUUCCACAAUUCUCAUGUUUGAGAGCGCUCUCAACUAUAGUCAGCUCACAGUGGUUUUAAAACCUUCCUCGAGGUUGAGCUCCUCUGAAUUUGAUUAAUGAGCUCUGCACUUAGACUUGAAAAGCU